UUUAUGUAUAUAACAAACAUAUUUAUAUACAAGAUGUUUUUAAUAAGUUAAUUUUUACUUGGUUGGAUGCGACUGGUGCGUGUACUUGCGCCUUUUUUUCCCUUUUUUUAAAAAGGUAAUUUUUGUGAGUUGUAACAACAUGAUAUCACAGAAUACAACAGUUAAACAUAUAUAUUUAAAAAUAUGCAUGUUUUAUGGUAAACUAAAAUUCUUGAAUACAAUUGUAUAUAAUGUCAAAAAUGUAUAAUAAAAAUUGCAGAGGCAGACCAUUUGUGCAAUUGUACACAAGAUCAACAAGGCAAAAGGCUUGUUCAUAGAACAAGUAUAUGAUACUGCGUGGACUAAAGUGAAGAAGGUGAAGACGUGCUGCUUGGAAAAAUCAAUUGCGCGAAAUUCGGUCAAGAUAUCAUGACAUGACUGUUUUUCUGUGAGAAAUAAAUAUCCGUAGUACUUGGGUUGCGGAGUCAAAUCGAUUAAUCGCCCACUUUUCUCUCCCUCGCAAAUUGUGCGAAUAUUAUUUCUAUAGCAUUCUUAUUUCUGUAGCAUUGCAAUAGCAUAGAUAGAAUGUUCUGCAGCAAUUCUAUUAUAGCAUAUUCAUUGUAUCGUAGUUAAUAUUUGAUGUUACUACUAUGAGAUAAUACGUUUAUGAUAACUUGUAAGAAAAAUUGUCUAAUUUUCAUAAAUUAAGGUAAAUUGUUCAAAUUAGGUAAUUUUCCUCGUAAGUAAUGUAUCUUAUGCUUAGAGAGAAAUAUUCUAAAAUAUUCUACGUAUUCUUCCGAAGAAGAUGUAUACAAAUUCCAGUCACUCAUUCUCAAAUGCAGUCGAAUGCUUGAAGAAGAAUGAUCUCUAUAGUUGAACAUUUUCGACUCCAUCGAACAUUACUAUUGGCCAUUGGCUUAUGGCCCUACAACCAAUCAAAAUUUGUUGAAUUACAAUUCUUACUAUUCUUUGCUGUUCCAAACAGUUUUAUUAUAUUUCAGCUAAUAUCGUUUAUAACUUCUGAAUAUACUGUUGAUCUUGUUAUUAAAAUUCUGUCUAUAAUAUUCUUUUUUCUUAUCUGCGAAGUUCACCAUACUUCGUUUUGGAUUAAUGCAUAUACUGUGAAGUGUUUCGUGGAGCGUCUUCAGCAUGUCUCUUGUGAAUUAAAAGAUGAAAACGAAAUCGCUAUAAUAAAAAAAUAUGGAAAGAGCGGAGAACACAUUACAAUUAUACUUACAUUGUUUGCGGUGUGCUGUGUAAUUAUUUUGACUGUUUUGCCAUUUUUGCCGUGGAUUCUUGGCACCUUUCUACUCGUAAAUGAAUCUCGACCACUUCACAAUAUGCUAAUUGUAACUGAAUAUUUUGUUGAUAAAGAAAAAAAUGUUUAUUUAAUUUUGCUGCACACAUGCGCAUCUAUUUACAUAGGAACGACUGCGUUGGUGGGAGGAGGAAUGAUGUUAAUAGCAUACCUAAAACACGUUUGCGGACUGUUUAGCAUUGCAAGUUACCGCAUGGAGCAAACAAUACUGUUAAAUAUUCACGAAGAAGAUAAUCGAAGGAACGAGAUGGAGAUGAACAAGAAGUUACGACAUGCAGUGGAUAUUCAUCGUACAGCUAUUGAGUUGUCUGAAUUCUUUACAUCUAGUUUCAAUAGAACAUAUUUUUGUCUAAUAGCGGUAGGCAUUAUUUGUUUAGCCCUUAAUCUCUAUCAAGUAUUACGAUCUGCAGUGCUUCUAGGUAACAUAGAAGAGAUACAACAUUGAAUGGUAUACGACUCCUAUAUGCAUACAAAGAUUGAUAUUAUUUCUGUUGCAAAGAAGUUGUAAAGCUUAUGGCCUCAAAAUAGCUGGUCUUUUUAUAGCAUCUCUAGAAGGUUUUAACUCGUUAAUUGCUGCAUCGAUAUCUUAUUUUACUGUUAUAUAUUCUACACAGAAGUGAUACGACUAUCAAUCAUCUUCUAUAGUAUAUUGAGGAGAAAGGAAUAAGUUUACAGAUAAGUGAUAGAAACCGUUUCCAAAUAAUUUGUUGCGUAAAUUGAUUAGUGGCUUAAAAUGAUCACUUUCUUAAUAAUAUCUUUUAAUAUAAUAAUAUAGUUGAUAUAAAAUGAUAAACAAUUAGAAUGAGCACCUAAAAAAUUAUGUAGUAGCUUAAAGAAACCGAAAGAAUAUGCUCGUGCAAGCAUACGUGGUUUGUGUUCGCGCGUAUACUUUUAUAUUACGUGUUUCUAUAUUUUUAAAACUUUAAUUUUUAAAUUUACACAUUUUUAAUAUCUUACAAGUUGAGGUCUAGUCGCAGAUUUAUUUAAUUCAGAAGGAUUACUUCUACACGGAAAGAAAAAAGUAGCUGCCAUAGCUAAAAACUGCGUGUGGUAACUAAAUUCAGUCGUAAUAUAUGGACAGCUAAAUUUUAGCUGUGAUACCUAUUUUAUUAGAUAAGGUUCCUAAUUCAUUAGCUGCAAGAGCAAACAUUUUGCUGUAGUUUAAAAAUUUAUAGCUACGGCAGCAACAAUUUUUAGCAAAUCAUGAUUAGCUACGGUAGCAAAAAUUUUUCUUUCUGUGUAUGAUCAAGUUCAAGUACUCACUUCGCGUGGCCAGUCGAAAACACAUGCGAAUCUAUUAAACUUCUUCUUUUCUAACUUUUUAAUAAACAAUGAUCGCCGGUAAAACAUUCUGGUAGGUCACUCAAGAGGAUGACCUCUAUAAUACAUGUCAAGAUCAAGAUCAUCGACACUGUGUCUUCUAAUCUAAAUAAUUACUGCGGAAUCUAUUAAAAAUUUAUAGUUGUUAUAGAAUUAGCAUUCUCACGAAUGUUAUUAAUUAAAUAGGUCAUCAUUAGGAUAUGAUUAUAAAAUUGUAACUAUAUGAUAUCCUAUUUUAACAAUAUGAUAUCACAAAAUGCAACAGUUAAAUAUAUGUAUUUAAAAACAUGAAUGUUUUAUGAUAAAUCAAAAUUCUCGAAUGCAAUUGUAUAUAAUAAAAUUGUACAUAAUAUAACAAAAAUGUAUAAUAAAAAUUGCGGACAGACCAUUUGUACAAUUAUACGCAAGAUCAAGGCUCCUUUUAAGAACAAGUAUACGUUACGAAUGCGUUCGUUAAACUGAAGAACGUCAAGACGUAUUAUUUGGGAAAGUCAAUUGCGCUUGCGCGAACUUCGGUCAAGAUAUCAUGACAUGACUGUUUUUCUAUGAGAA
Ooceraea biroi (clonal raider ant) is the source of this 3169-nucleotide RNA transcript. It is a transcript of the gene named putative odorant receptor 92a, with no coding region annotated. The record is from RefSeq and is a predicted model, not a curated record. Lineage: Eukaryota; Metazoa; Arthropoda; Insecta; Hymenoptera; Formicidae.